UUUGGUGGUGGGGAGUAGCCGGCUAACGCCCGGGUAAUACCGCAUACGGUUGCCGAGGGGAGUCCCUUGGCAAAGAAACCUCCGGGGCACAGAGAGGGGCUCGCGGCCUAUCAGCUAGUUGGGGGGGUAAUGGCCCACCAAGGCGACGACGGGUAGCUGGUCUGAGAGGAUGGCCAGCCACAUUGGGACUGAGAGACGGCCCAG
This 204-nucleotide ribosomal RNA is filed under the name uncultured bacterium. Its description in RNAcentral is "partial 16S ribosomal RNA". It matches the Rfam family "Bacterial small subunit ribosomal RNA", at positions 130 to 334 of the family's 1533-position model. The record is from RNAcentral.